This 98-nucleotide ribosomal RNA is filed under the name Alkalihalobacillus trypoxylicola. RNAcentral describes it as "Bacillus trypoxylicola partial 23S ribosomal RNA". It matches the Rfam family "Bacterial large subunit ribosomal RNA", at positions 1 to 97 of the family's 2925-position model. Lineage: Bacteria; Bacillati; Bacillota; Bacilli; Caryophanales; Bacillaceae. The record is from RNAcentral.
UGGUUAAGUUAGAAAGGGCGCACGGUGAAUGCCUUGGCACUAGGAGCCGAAGAAGGACGCGACGAACGGCGAAACGCCUCGUGGAGCUGUAAGUAAGC